RNAcentral lists this ribosomal RNA (253 nucleotides) under uncultured bacterium. RNAcentral describes it as "partial 16S ribosomal RNA". It matches the Rfam family "Bacterial small subunit ribosomal RNA", at positions 524 to 776 of the family's 1533-position model. The record is from RNAcentral.
UACGUAGGUGACAAGCGUUGUCCGGAUUUACUGGGCGUAAAGAGCGCGCAGGCGGUCGAUCAAGUCGAGUGUGAAAGCCCCCGGCUCAACUGGGGAGGGUCAUUCGAUACUGAUCGACUCGAAGGCAGGAGAGGGUAGUGGAAUUCCCGGUGUAGUGGUGAAAUGCGUAGAUAUCGGGAGGAACACCAGUGGCGAAGGCGGGCACCUGGGCUAACACUGACGCUGAUGCGCGAAAGCUAGGGGAGCAAACAGG